RNAcentral lists this ribosomal RNA (432 nucleotides) under uncultured bacterium. RNAcentral describes it as "partial 16S ribosomal RNA". It matches the Rfam family "Bacterial small subunit ribosomal RNA", at positions 29 to 507 of the family's 1533-position model. The record is from RNAcentral.
ACGCACGCUGGCGGCAUGCCUAACCCCUGCAAGUCGCACGCGACCUUCGGGUCUAGUGGCGCACGGGUGCGUCACGCGUGGGAACCUGCCCUUAGGUUCGGAAUAACUCAGAGAAAUUUGAGCUAAUACCGGAUAAUGUCUUCGGACCAAAGAUUUAUCGCCUUUGGAUGGGCCCGCGUAGGAUUAGCUUGUUGGUGGGGUAAUGGCCUACCAAGGCGACGAUCCUUAGCUGGUCUGAGAGGAUGAUCAGCCACACUGGGACUGAGACACGGCCCUGACUCCUACGGGAGGCAGCAGUGGGGAAUAUUGGACAAUGGGCGAAAGCCUGAUCCAGCAAUGCCGCGUGAGUGAUGAAGGCCUUAGGGUUGUAAAGCUCUUUUACCAGGGAUGAUAAUGACAGUACCUGGAGAAUAAGCUCCGGCUAACUCCGUG